Molecule: ribosomal RNA, 712 nt
Filed under: uncultured bacterium
Lineage: Bacteria
Description: bacterial SSU rRNA
Rfam family: Bacterial small subunit ribosomal RNA
Source: RNAcentral
CAUGCAAGUCGAACGGUAACAGCGGAAGCUUGCUUCCGGCUGACGAGUGGCGGACGGGUGAGUAACGCGUAGGAAUCUACCCUGUAGUGGGGGAUAACCCGAGGAAACUCGGGCUAAUACCGCAUAUGUCCUCAGGGACAAAGGGGGCCUCUUAUCUCUUCGGAGACAAUGCUCCUGCUAUGGGAUGAGCCUGCGUCGGAUUAGCUUGUUGGUAGGGUAAUGGCCUACCAAGGCUACGAUCCGUAGCUGGUCUGAGAGGACGACCAGCCACACUGGAACUGAGACACGGUCCAGACUUCUACGGAAGGCAGCAGUAAGGAAUUUUGGACAAUGGGCGCAAGCCUGAUCCAGCCAUGCCGCGUGUGUGAAGAAGGCCUUAGGGUUGUAAAGCACUUUCAGGGGUGAAGAAAAUCUCGGGGUUAAUACCCCCGAGCCUUGACGUUAGCCCCACAAGAAGCACCGGCUAACUCCGUGCCAGCAGCCGCGGUGAUACGGAGGGUGCGAACGUUAAUCGGAAUUACUGGGCGUAAAGCGCGCGUAGGCGGUUUGUUAAGUGAGGUGUGAAAGCCCCAGGCUCAACCUGGGAACUGCAUUUCAGACUGGCAGACUAGAGUCUGAUAGAGGAAGGUGGAAUUCCCUGUGUAGCGGUGAAAUGCGUAGAUAUAGGGAAGAAUACCAGUGGCGAAGGCGGCCUUCUGGAUCAAGACUGACG